UAAUACGUAGGGUGCGAGCGUUAAUCGGAAUUACUGGGCGUAAAGCGUGCGCAGGCGGUUCGUUAAGUCAGAUGUGAAAGCCCCGGGCUCAACCUGGGAACUGCAUUUGAAACUGGCGGGCUUGAGUAUGGCAGAGGGGGGUGGAAUUCCGCGUGUAGCAGUGAAAUGCGUAGAGAUGCGGAGGAACACCGAUGGCGAAGGCAGCCCCCUGGGCCAAUACUGACGCUCAGGCACGAAAGCGUGGGGAGCAAACAGGAUUAGAUACCCUGGUAGUCCACGCCCUAAACGAUGCUCACUAGGUGUUGGGGAAGCGAUUCCUUGGUACCGUAGCUAACGCGUGAAGUGAGCCGCCUGGGGAGUACGGCCGCAAGGUUA
Molecule: ribosomal RNA, 375 nt
Filed under: uncultured bacterium
Lineage: Bacteria
Description: bacterial SSU rRNA
Rfam family: Bacterial small subunit ribosomal RNA
Source: RNAcentral